ACGCGUGAGAACAUGCCUUUAGAUUGGGGACAACAGUUGGAAACGACUGCUAAUACCGAAUGUGCCUUAGGGUGAAAGAUUUAUUGUCUAGAGAUUGGCUCGCGUCAGAUUAGCUAGUUGGAGUGGUAACGGCACACCAAGGCGACGAUCUGUACUUGGUCUGAGAGGAUGACCAGGCACACUGGAACUGAGACACGGUCCAGACUCCUACGGGAGGCAGCAGUGGGGAAUUUUCCGCAAUGGGCGAAAGCCUGACGGAGCAAUACCGCGUGAGGGAGGACGGCUUUUGGGUUGUAAACCUCUUUUAUCAGGGAAGAAUCGAUGACGGUACCUGAUGAAUCAGCAUCGGCUAACUCCGUGCCAGCAGCCGCGGUAAUACGGAGGAUGCAAGCGUUAUCCGGAAUUAUUGGGCGUAAAGCGUCCGUAGGUGGUUUAUCAAGUCUGCUGUCAAAGCGUGCGGCUUAACCGCAUAAGGGCAGUGGAAACUGAUGAACUAGAGUGCGAUAGGGGUAACAGGAAUUCCCAGUGUAGCGGUGAAAUGCGUAGAUAUUGGGAAGAACACCAGCGGCGAAAGCGUGUUACUGGGUCUGCACUGACACUGAGGGACGAAAGCUAGGGGAGCGAAAGGGAUUAGAUACCCCU
Molecule: ribosomal RNA, 642 nt
Filed under: Leptolyngbya sp. WUC1435
Lineage: Bacteria; Bacillati; Cyanobacteriota; Cyanophyceae; Leptolyngbyales; Leptolyngbyaceae
Also listed under: 3 other names
Description: bacterial SSU rRNA
Rfam family: Bacterial small subunit ribosomal RNA
Source: RNAcentral